This 562-nucleotide ribosomal RNA is filed under the name uncultured bacterium. Its description in RNAcentral is "partial 16S ribosomal RNA". It matches the Rfam family "Bacterial small subunit ribosomal RNA", at positions 355 to 1375 of the family's 1533-position model. The record is from RNAcentral.
UGGGGAAUAUUGGACAAUGGGCGCAAGCCUGAUCCAGCCAUGCCGCGUGAGUGAUGAAGGUCUUAGGAUUGUAAAGCUCUUUCACCGGUGAAGAUAAUGACGGUAACCGGAGAAGAAGCCCCGGCUAACUUCGUGCCAGCAGCCGCGGUAAUACGAAGGGGGCUAGCGUUGUUCGGAAUUACUGGGCGUAAAGCGCAUGCAGGCGGAUAUUUAAGUCAGGGGUGAAAUCCCGCAGCUCAACUGCGGAACUGCCUUUGAUACUGGGUAUCUUGAGUAUGGAAGAGGUGAGUGGAAUUCCGAGUGUAGAGGUGAAAUUCGUAGAUAUUCGGAGGAACACCAGUGGCGAAGGCGGCUCACUGGUCCAUUACUGACGCUGGGGUGCGAAAGCGUGGGGAGCGAAACAGGAUUAGAUACCCUGGUAGUCCACGCCGUAAACGAUGGAUGUUAGCCGUCGGGCAGUAUACUGUUCGGUGGCGCAGCUAACGCAUUAAACAUUCCGCCUGGGGGAGUACGGUCGCAAGAUUAAAACUUAAAGGAAUUGACGGGGUCAUAGCUGUUUCCU